AUUCUGUAUUUCUCCUUUCUUUUCACUUUAUAACAACUAUGGUUCUCCUUAGUUCCAUUGUCAGUCCAUCUGCUAUAAUGGCCACCUGGCCUCUGUGUCAAGCAGCUACAUACUUGGAGAACUAGGGAGGCUAAUGGAUCGGAACGGCGGCCGCACUCGCACAUGGCUUGGAGGAUGGAGAAUCUUUAAUACACGUAAUUUCAUGUGGUUGGAUGGAACGCACUGGCUCUAUAAUGGCUGGGCUGUUGGAGAACCCAAUAAUGCUGGAGGGCAUGAGAACUGUGUAGAGACGUGGUAUAAUCUGGCGUUCAAUGAUGCACCAUGCACAAUUCCCAAACCAUUCAUCUGUUCCUGUCCACUUUAAACAGACAGAGGGUUAACCUAACCUGCUAUACAGUAACUUUUAUGAAAAAAGUGUAAAUAAUAAUCAUUAUUGCAAUUUUUAAAGAUUUAUUUAUAAGAGUUAUCAACUGAUGUUUAAGUCAGUUUGCCUUGUAUUUUUACAAACAAAAGAAUAAACAUGUUUAUAUACCUCAACUGUUUCAUUUAGUUUGGUUAAUAUAGCAUUUAAUUGUUGUUUACUAGCCAAAACCAUCCUUUUGAACACUUCUACUGUAUGUUUAAAUCAAGCUGUAAAAUUAUAUACAAUAAAAGUGACUUUUUUAUGUA
Molecule: long non-coding RNA, 669 nt
Organism: Carassius auratus (goldfish)
Lineage: Eukaryota; Metazoa; Chordata; Actinopteri; Cypriniformes; Cyprinidae
Exons: 3
Source: RefSeq, a predicted model, not a curated record